CCUACGGGAGGCAGCAGUGAGGAAUAUUGGUCCAUGGACGAGAGUCUGAACCAGCCAAGUAGCGUGAAGGCUGACUGCCCUAUGGGUUGUAAACUUCUUUUAUAUGGGAAUAAAAUGUUCCACGUGUGGGUUUUUGUAUGUACCAUCUGAAUAAGGAUCGGCUAACUCCGUGCCAGCAGCCGCUGUAAUACGGAGGAUCCGAGCGUUAUCCGGUUUUAUUGGGUUUAACGGGAGCGUAGGUGGAUUGUUAAGUCAGUGGUGAAAGUUUGCGGCUCAACCGUAAAACUGCAGUUGAAACUGGCAGUCUUGAGUACAGUAGAGGUGGGCGGAAUGCGUGGUGUAGCAGUGAAAUGCUUAGAUAUCACGAAGAACUCCGAUUGCGAAGGCAGUUCACUGGACUGCAACUGACACUGAGGCUCGAAAGUGUGGGUAUCAAACAGGAUUAGAUACCCUGGUAGUC
This 460-nucleotide ribosomal RNA is filed under the name uncultured bacterium. Its description in RNAcentral is "partial 16S ribosomal RNA". It matches the Rfam family "Bacterial small subunit ribosomal RNA", at positions 338 to 795 of the family's 1533-position model. The record is from RNAcentral.